UAAAUACUCCCUUCGUCUCAAAAUUCUUGUCUUAGAUUUGUCUAAUUAUGAAUGUAUCUAGUCAUGUUUUAGUAAUUAGAUACAUUUAUUUUUAGAUAAACCUCUAGUCAUGUUUUAGUAUUUAGAUACAUUCAUUUUUAGAUAAACCUAAGACAAGAAUUUUGAGACGAAUGAAGUAAAUC
This is a non-coding RNA of Hordeum vulgare subsp. vulgare (domesticated barley), 182 nucleotides long. The record is from Rfam. Lineage: Eukaryota; Viridiplantae; Streptophyta; Magnoliopsida; Poales; Poaceae.